CGCCUCUUGAUUACCAUAAGAGGUCCAGCCUGCCCAGUGAUAUAAUUUAACGGCCGCGUGACUAAGCGCGCGAAGGUAGCAUAAUAACUUGUUCUCUAAAUAGGGACUUGUAUCAAUGGCAUCACGAGAGUUACACUGUCUCCUUUUUCUAAUUAGUGAAACUAAUUUCCUCGUGAAAAAGCGAGAAUAAUAAUAUAAGACGAGAAGACCCCAUGGAGCUUUAAACCCAACAGUACCCUCAUCUUCAUACACCCACUUAACUUUAAGAAUAUAUUUGUUGGUUUUAGGCUGGGGAGACCACGGAGAAUAAAUUAACCUCCGUAAUGAAUGGGAUAAAAUCCUAAUCUAUGAGCUACUACUUUAUGAAUUAAUAAUUUAAUGUUAAAUGACCCGAUUAUCGAUCAAUGAACCAAGUUACCCUGGGGAUAACAGCGCAAUCCAUUUCAAGAGUUCAUAUCAACAAAUGGGCUUACGACCUCGAUGUUGGAUCAGGGUAUCCUAGUGGUGCAGCAGCUACUAAAGGUUUGUUUGUUCAACAAUUAAAACCCU
Molecule: ribosomal RNA, 549 nt
Filed under: Ingerana tenasserimensis
Lineage: Eukaryota; Metazoa; Chordata; Amphibia; Anura; Dicroglossidae
Also listed under: 1 other name
Description: partial 16S ribosomal RNA
Rfam family: Bacterial large subunit ribosomal RNA
Source: RNAcentral